UUGGAAUAUUCAUCAGAAUUGAGCAAUUGCUAAUGAGAAUGAAAACAAACUUUACACAGCCAAAGCUAUUUUAUUUAAUGUUACAACAAUGUUAGUUAUUCUUUCAUACGUGAAUGACAUUGAUGCAAUAACUAUCAACUUUUUAGUCAAGUGAAAAGACAAGCAAUUAAUGGAAAACCCUCCUAUUUUAGCUCUGAUAAUUUUUCUGUCAUCAACUGCUGUUGUUUUCCUUGGCCAACCUAGUCAUUACUGAUUGGUAAAGACACCAGGGAUUUAUCUCUAUUGACAGGACAUUCCAAACUAUCUGGGUAGGGCUGACAUGCUAUAGUUCUAAUUGAGUUUCUAUUUUCUGGAUAUUCCAAACUAUCUGGCUAGGGCUGACAUACUAUAGUUCUAAUUGAGUUUCUCUUUUCUUUUAGCAUCAAAACUGCUAGCUUUUCCAUAAUGGACAGCUCACUGGCCUUCAUGCUGGAUAAUGCCUACAGACACCAAACUCAAAAGAUAGAACUGAAUCUCCCGUUGGCCAAAUUCCCCCAAUACUUAUGCCCACAUAAUGAUGCCGGAGCUGUUAUUCUUAUUUUGUAACAAGAACUGUAAUUUGUGCUGUUCAUCCUUCCCUCAAUCAUGACCAGUUUCCCUGCCGCUGAGAAUCAUCCCCAUAACAUGAUGCUCCCACCACCAUGCUUCACCAUCGGGAUGGUAAUAGACAGCCAAUGAGUGGAACUUUGUGUUCUGCAAAUGUUUGGCAUUCAGGCACUACUCUCAAAGUACUUCAGGCAGCAUGCCAUAUAUCUUUUACUGUUGUCAUUCGCCUUUUACUCAGGAGUGGCUUUUGUCUAGCCACUCCUGCAUGCAGGAGAUAGAGCCUGAUAGAAUGCUGCAUUCAUCCUGGCAGGCUUUCCCAUAAAUGCUUACAAUCCAGCUUUGUUGGAGUGGCCAUAGGAUUCUCGGUCACCUCACUGAACACGACCCAACUUGCCCAGUUAUUUUAUUUUAAUUUUGGCUGGAUGACCAGCUCUGCAGUCUUGAUGGUUUUAUUUCACAUUGAUGGAGGCCACUGUGCUCCUGGGAGCUUUCAAUGAUUUACCAUUUUUGAGGGAGGUUGCCCACAGGGGAUGCCACCGGGCCUGAACAUACCUGCCUUCUGUCACCAGGCCCCUUUGGCCCUCGCUGUGUAGAAUAUUCCCAUUUUAUUUUUCAGUAUUUUGGCAAACAUUUCUAAAAUUCUGUUUUUGCAUUGUGGAUAUUAGGUAUUUGUUAGGGACAUUUCUGUAACCUGAUAAAAUAUAUUCUGAGUAAAGGACUGAGUCCCAAUGUUUAAAUGCAUAGAGGAGUGUGGGAGAGGGGAUCUGGGUUUUGUCUUAGGGGGCAUUCUUGUUUGGCCACGAGUAGUUUUAGGGUUAAUCAUCUUCCCAUCAGUAGGUUGCUCAGAUGCUUUAAUUCCCCCUUAAGGGUUAAGAAAGUUAACCACAUGAGGGAAGACACCAUGUCCCUUGUGUCAAGCCCAGGACAUGUGACAGAACAAAGGGUGUGUUUGGUUGACAUGGGACAGAGGGGCAGCAUCUUACCACACCCCCUUUUUCCCUCCUUAUAUAUUGAUGCAUUUCCUAUACUGAUUUAGAGAUUAUUCAUUGUUACUUUGUAACCUGUGUAUUCUCUCCUUGCAAGAAUAAAACUGUUUAUUGUGCAUUUGAGUUUU
Molecule: long non-coding RNA, 1699 nt
Organism: Esox lucius (northern pike)
Lineage: Eukaryota; Metazoa; Chordata; Actinopteri; Esociformes; Esocidae
Source: Ensembl